UUCCAAGGGGGAAAGGUUAUAGCGAUUAUGAGAAAUUAAGCCAUAAGCGUAUAGCUUUUUCCCUUUGGCA
Molecule: non-coding RNA, 70 nt
Organism: Apis mellifera (honey bee)
Lineage: Eukaryota; Metazoa; Arthropoda; Insecta; Hymenoptera; Apidae
Source: Rfam